RNAcentral lists this ribosomal RNA (497 nucleotides) under uncultured bacterium. RNAcentral describes it as "partial 16S ribosomal RNA". It matches the Rfam family "Bacterial small subunit ribosomal RNA", at positions 28 to 507 of the family's 1533-position model. The record is from RNAcentral.
GAUGAACGCUGGCGGCGUGCCUAAUACAUGCAAGUCGAGCGAACAGACGAGGAGCUUGCUCCUCUGACGUUAGCGGCGGACGGGUGAGUAACACGUGGAUAACCUACCUAUAAGACUGGGAUAACUUCGGGAAACCGGAGCUAAUACCGGAUAAUAUAUUGAACCGCAUGGUUCAAUAGUGAAAGACGGUUUUGCUGUCUCUUAUAGAUGGAUCUGCGCCGCAUUGUCUAGUUGGUAAGGUAACGGCUUACCAAGGCAACGAUGCGUAGCCGACCUGAGAGGGUGAUCGGCCACACUGGAGCUGAGACACGGUCCAGACUCCUGCGGGAGGCAGCAGUAGGGAAUCGUCCGCAAUGGUCGAAAGCCUGACGGAACAACGCCGCGUGUGUGAUGAAGGUCUUCGGAGCGGAAAACUCUGUUAUUAGGGAAGAACAAAUGUGUAAGUAACUAUGCACGUCUUGACGGUACCUAAUCAGAAAGCCACGGCUAACUACGUG